This 492-nucleotide ribosomal RNA is filed under the name uncultured bacterium. RNAcentral describes it as "partial 16S ribosomal RNA". It matches the Rfam family "Bacterial small subunit ribosomal RNA", at positions 29 to 507 of the family's 1533-position model. The record is from RNAcentral.
AGUGAACGCUGGCGGUAGGCCUAACACAUGCAAGUCGAACGGCAGCACAGUAAGAGCUUGCUCUUACGGGUGGCGAGUGGCGGACGGGUGAGGAAUACAUCGGAAUCUACUUUUUCGUGGGGGAUAACGUAGGGAAACGUACGCUAAUACCGCAUACGACCUACGGGUGAAAGCAGGGGAUCUUCGUACCUUGCUCGAUUGAAUGAGCCGAUGUCGGAUUAGCUAGUUGGCGGGGUAAAGGCCCACCAAGGCGACGAUCCGUAGCUGGUCUGAGAGGAUGAUCAGCUACACUGGAACUGAGACACGGUCCAGACUCCUACGGGAGGCAGCAGUGGGGACUAUUAGACAAUGGGCGCAAGCCUGAUCCAGCCAUACCGCGUAGGUGAAGAAGGACUUAGGGUUGUAAAGCCCUUUUGUUGGGAAAGAAAAGCAGCAGGUUAAUACCCCGCUGUUCUGGCGGUACCCAAAGAAUAAGCACCGGCUAACUUCGUG